Molecule: ribosomal RNA, 244 nt
Filed under: uncultured bacterium
Lineage: Bacteria
Description: partial small subunit ribosomal RNA
Rfam family: Bacterial small subunit ribosomal RNA
Source: RNAcentral
AGAGCGAACGCUGGCGGCGUGCCUAACACAUGCAAGUCGCACGAGAAAGGGGAGCAAUCCCUGAGUACAGUGGCGCACGGGUGAGUAACACGUGAAUAAUCUACCUCCGAGUGGGGAAUAACUGAGAGAAAUCUUAGCUAAUACCGCAUAAUACCCACGGGUCAAAGCAGCAAUGCGCUUGGAGAGGAGUUCGCGGCAGAUUAGUUAGUUGGCGGGUAAUGGCCCACCAAGACGAUGAUCUGUA